Molecule: ribosomal RNA, 342 nt
Filed under: uncultured bacterium
Lineage: Bacteria
Description: bacterial SSU rRNA
Rfam family: Bacterial small subunit ribosomal RNA
Source: RNAcentral
CUUCGGUGACGCAGUGACAGGUGCUGCAUGGCUGUCGUCAGCUCGUGUCGUGAGAUGUUCGGUUAAGUCCGGCAACGAGCGCAACCCACAUCCUUAGUUGCCAGCAGUUCGGCUGGGCACUCUAAGGAAACUGCCCGUGAUAAGCGGGAGGAAGGUGUGGAUGACGUCAGGUCCUCAUGGCCCUUACGGGUUGGGCUACACACGUGCUACAAUGGCAGUGACAAUGGGUUAAUCCCAAAAAGCUGUCUCAGUUCGGAUCGGGGUCUGCAACUCGACCCCAUGAAGUCGGAAUCGCUAGUAAUCGCGUAACGGCAUGACGCGGUGAAUACGUUCCCGGGCCUU